AUAAAAAUUUAAAUUGAGUUUUAUUACCGACAAAUAUACUAAAUAAGUGGAUGAGUGAAGUAGACUGAGUAGAUUGAGUAGUCGCGUGUCUGACAGUUGACUAGUGACAGGUUAUUUAAAAUGUUGUUUUGAUAAUGUUAUUUACUUAUUUUUUCACAAAUUAGUUUUACGUUUGAGUGAAAUUUUUUUAGAGUUAUAACACGAUUGAUUGGUUCAUCUUUUCAUUUUUAUUCAGUUAUUUGUCCAUGAAUAAUUUAUAUAUAAGUACUAUGGAAAUUACACCAUCACCUUGACUGAUGUGCCAGACCAGUAUUCAAUGUGCCAGAAUUUUAAAUAUGACCUUCCUAUAUCAGGUUUAGUGAAAUUGAAUGAAAUAUGAAGAAAUAUAUACAUG
This is a long non-coding RNA of Microplitis demolitor, 394 nucleotides long. RefSeq lists it as uncharacterized. The record is from RefSeq and is a predicted model, not a curated record. The transcript has 2 exons. Lineage: Eukaryota; Metazoa; Arthropoda; Insecta; Hymenoptera; Braconidae.